AGGAUCAUUCGCAAUGGGCGAAAGCCUGACGAUGCGACGCUGCGUGGAGGAUGAAGGCCUUCGGGUUGUAAACUCCUGUCAUGGGGGAAGAGGCGAGGGGACCGAAUACGUCCCUUAGUUGACUGUACCCCAAGAGGAAUGGGCGGCUAACUCUGUGCCAGCAGCCGCGGUAAUACAGAGGCCCAUAGCGUUGUUCGGAUUUACUGGGCGUAAAGGGCGCGUAGGCGGCAGGGCGUGUCAAGUGUGAAAUCUCCGGGCCCAACCCGGAAAGUGCGCUUGAAACUACCUUGCUCGAGGCCGGGAGAGGGAAUCGGAAUACAGGGUGUAGCGGUGAAAUGCGUUGAUAUCCUGUAGAACACCGGAGGCGAAGGCGGAUUCCUGGAACGGUACUGACGCUGAGGCGCGAAAGUCGGGGGAGCAAACA
Molecule: ribosomal RNA, 424 nt
Filed under: uncultured bacterium
Lineage: Bacteria
Description: bacterial SSU rRNA
Rfam family: Bacterial small subunit ribosomal RNA
Source: RNAcentral